RNAcentral lists this ribosomal RNA (101 nucleotides) under Gammaproteobacteria bacterium. Its description in RNAcentral is "partial 16S ribosomal RNA". It matches the Rfam family "Bacterial small subunit ribosomal RNA", at positions 1436 to 1533 of the family's 1533-position model. The record is from RNAcentral. Lineage: Bacteria; Pseudomonadati; Pseudomonadota; Gammaproteobacteria.
UAACCUUCGGGAGGGCGCUUGCCACGGUGUGGUCAAUGACUGGGGUGAAGUCGUAACAAGGUAGCCGUAGGGGAACCUGCGGCUGGAUCACCUCCUUAAAA